RNAcentral lists this long non-coding RNA (3300 nucleotides) under Ricinus communis (castor bean). Its description in RNAcentral is "long non-coding RNA (RCOM_LNC000367)". The record is from RNAcentral. Lineage: Eukaryota; Viridiplantae; Streptophyta; Magnoliopsida; Malpighiales; Euphorbiaceae.
GCUCUUCCUUUGAAUGAGGCCACAUACAAUGUAAAGAAACAAAGGUUAAAGGAUGGGACACCAUGCCCUAACCCAUUGCUCGAGUGGGCAUGUCAUGUGCUAUCUUCCCUUCAUCAGCUGCUUCAGAUAUUUGACUCUGCAUGAAAAGGACUGGCCUAAAAGGUGGCAAUCUAUCUUACUGUAAACUGAGUUUUUAUCAGGUAUAUUUCUUGUCUAAUAAUGUUAUGGUUAUGUGUGUUUUUUCUUUUUUGAUAACAAUUAUCUUCAUGAGCCUGACUUGCUUAGUUGUUUUGUAAUUACUGUAAAUAGAAAUUUGAUACUGGGUUAAUGACUAUUUUUCUUCAAACUCUCAUAAUCUAGAGACUGUGACUGUGAUAAGAUCUUGACUCUUGGAUUUAUUGAUUAUGACGAGUUUAAAGGAAGCUUUGAACUCCUGUGUUAAUUGAGGAAUGUUAAUUUUACUCUCUGGGUCUUUGGAGUUUCCAAGCUAUUCCAAAGAAUGAUUGGUUCAGCCUAAUUGGAGUAUACCUCUGGUGAUGCCACAAAGAGUACGACAAAUUUGAAAGCGUUUUGAAAAUGAAAAUUUUAGUACCGACGGACUUAGUCGGGCUAAGAUUUAAAAACUCGAGUUUUCUCUCUUUAUUUACAAUAACUAAACAAAUUCUAUGCGUAAAGUGUUGACUAACUAUUUCAGUCGGUUAUCCGAAAUUUCUAACUAUAUAUGUAAACAGACUUAGAGACUACAUUCUUUCCCCAUCAAUGACUAAUUGGUAAACUGUGUUUUCAAGAGAGAAAACGCUUAAAACACUUCGAUUAUAACUACGAAUCAAUUUGAUCUGUAUAGCUUCACUAUUCUAUUAAAUUCUGAAAAUUCCUGAUUUACCCACACCUCUUUUAUUCUUUUCCCCUCCAAUGGACCUCAAAAGGGCAUCACGGUUUACUGUUUUCUGCUACAGCACUGGAGAGAUCGCUAUCUGCAGUGCAAAAGGUUGACUAACAGUUGGAAAAAUAACAAUUCCAUACAUAUAAAGGAGAACCAUAUACAUACAUACACUCACCAACAUCACGUUUCUUAGAUUUAGUGCUCCUUUGGUAUUGAAACACAGAUAUUAAUUACAAUUACCCUUCUAAUUGCAGUGAUGAUAUCAAUAUCAGAGUUAUUUUUUUAUUUAUUAAUCUUUCUUAUAUAGGCAUUAAUCUGACACCUACUCAGCAAAAAGAGCUUUCAAGUUUCAAGUUUUGCUUAUUCCAAAGUCCAAUGCAUCUAAAUAGUUUUAUUUUUUUAAAAGAAAUAUAAUAGUAUUGAUUCAUAAUUAAUCCUAACUUAUAGAACAAGAUAAUUUUUUUGAGAUCAGUGGUAAAGUAUAAAUCUAGCGUUGUCAGACCGCUGUUAGAUUAAGAUGUAUAAAAAAAUAGAUAAAUAAAUAAUAUCUAAAUAAUUUUUAAUUUUUAUUGCAAUUACAAUAUAACACACUUUUUGAAUAAUUUGAUAGUACAUUAUAUAAAUUGAAUAUAAAGAAAUCCCACAUGAGGAAAGUCCAAAAAAAUGUUUUCUUUCCCAUGUGAGCCUAGUGAUCUUGUCCUAAAUCAAUACACUAAACAUAUAUGAACUUGUGGGUAACUUGUCAGUAAUGUCUUCAAGCAACCAUUUAACAGAAGAUCAUCAAUCGAUCAAGAAUCAAUAAUGAUUAUUAUGAAUUAAUGGACAAAAAGAAUGGAGAAAUCCUGGAUUUUGAGGAAAUGAACUAUUCUGCAAAGCUCCACAGACGAAAAUCGUCUUCGAAAAAAUCAUCGAUCAUCAUCGGUGGAGGAUUGAACGACGAAGCAGCCCCAUUAUUGAUGAACAUUUGAUCAAGAAACUUGGGUGACGAAAGUUGAUCGUCAAAGUUAUACCAUGAAUACUCAUCAUGACUAUAUGUCCCAAAAGACUGCAUUAGCGACACAUCAUCAUAUACAUCUAGUUGAUCACACGAUGAUGGGGAUGAUAUGGAUGAUGAUGAUGAUGAUGAUGAUGGGGAUUGUAAGGAAGAAGGCUGAGGUGGCGAUGAUACUGGUGUGGUUGCGGUGGUGGCAGUUGCGGUUGCAUUGUCUGUAAAACUAUUAGCGGCAGCAGCAGCAAUUCUUUGAAUAGAUUUAGGUGACAUAACGGUGUCAGGAAUGUAAUGAGAGGAAGUGAUAGGAAAGUUAAGGUUAGCUGAAGAGCCUUUAAGACAUAAAAGUGCAGCAUCAUAUGCUCUAGCUGCAGCUUCAGCAGUAGAAUAAGAGCCUAACCAAAUUCUCGUUUUCUGAUUUGGUGCUCUUAUUUCUGAUACCCAAGAACCCCAGCUUCUCAUUCUCACUCCUUUGUAUUUCUUUUUUGUCGAUGCUGAAGAUGAAGGAGAUGUUGCCAUUGGCUUUGCUGAUGUUUCUGAUUGGAUCUUCUGCUCACUCUUCACCAUUGCUAAAUAUAUAUAUUUAGAUGAUCAAGAACCUGCUCGAAGAUCAAGUGCUACAGCUAGCUUUCUCUCGAACGAAACCGAAGGGAUCUUGAAUUCUUGAUUCUCUUGUUUUCACUCUUGUAAAUACAAUACAAACUUGUUUUCUUGAAUUCUUGUUCUUUCUCUGAAAGGUAGAGGAGAGAUAAUGAAUGAGAUUGCGAACUGAAAAUGAGAAGGAGAGACAAAAGGUUGGUAUUUAUAGAAUAUGGGAAAGGUUAACUGUGAGUGCAAAAUUCCAUUAGUGCAAAAGGGAACAGUGUGUGUGGUUGUUCCAAAACUUGACUGUAAAAUGGCUGACAGAUAUUUUUUAGCUAAUAUAAAUAGAAAUUAGAAAAAUAUUUUAUAUGUAUAAUGUCCCUUUUGAUGAUUUUAUUUGAAAAUGACUUAUCUGUCCUGGCAUGGUCAAACUAUGCCAGAUAGAUAAUUUAAUCACAUUAUUUUCUAAAAAUUAACAACACCAAAUGCAUCACUACGCUUAACCCAUUUGCUUAUCAAAUAGUAUAAUAAUCUUCUUCUAUGUAUUAUGUUUUACACUUGGAAAGAAUGCAUACGUUAUUAUUUUUCUUCAACAGUUAAAACCCAUUAUUAUUAAUUUCAGUAGUCUUUUUUCUGUAAGCAGGUUAUGUGAAUUCAAUUACCAGAGGGCUUUGAAAUGGUCAUCUACGCACGUAUUAAGAACUUAUAUUUUUAACCAAGAAAUGAUCUUUACACUUCUGUCAGAAGAUUUUAUAGUGUUUAAUUACUUGAAGAAAUGUGGCGUGCUAUGACUAAUAUACGUACUGUUCUUCUCAUUCAUAAAUUAAAAAUAAAAAUAAUAAUUUCA